AUACGGAGGGUGCAAGCGUUAUUCGGAAUCACUGGGCGUAAAGGGUGCGUAGGCGGUUUGAUAAGUCUGAUGUGAAAUCCUAUGGCUCAACCAUAGAACUGCAUUGGAAACUGUCAGACUAGAAUACUGAAGGGGCAGAUGGAAUUAGUGGUGUAGGGGUAAAAUCCGUAGAUAUCACUAGGAAUACCGAAAGCGAAAGCGAUCUGCUGGGAAGUUAUUGACGCUGAGGCACGAAAGCGUGGGGAGCAAACGGGAUUAGAAACCCCAGUAGUCC
Molecule: ribosomal RNA, 274 nt
Filed under: uncultured bacterium
Lineage: Bacteria
Description: partial 16S ribosomal RNA
Rfam family: Bacterial small subunit ribosomal RNA
Source: RNAcentral